Long non-coding RNA from Helianthus annuus (common sunflower), 241 nucleotides. RefSeq lists it as uncharacterized. NCBI's taxonomy places the organism in Eukaryota, Viridiplantae, Streptophyta, Magnoliopsida, Asterales, Asteraceae. The transcript has 3 exons. The record is from RefSeq and is a predicted model, not a curated record.
GGCAAGAACAAGGGGAGACCCUAAUCUCAUCAAUUAACAUCAAAAUUCAGCAAGAUUGUGAAGGAUUCUAGUCAUAAAUCGAAUGUUUGUGCUUAACUAUUGUCUAAUCCAAGAGUUUUGAGCAUAAGGAUCGAAAGAAGAAGGAGCUAGUUCCGGAUCACAAACAAAGGCACAAGAUCGAGGAUCGAAAGAAGAAGGAGCUAGUUCCGGAUCACAAACAAAGGCACAAGAUCGAGGUAAG